UGUCCGCGUCGCCGUUGCCUAGCCCUGCUCUCCGUAUGGUCCCGCAGGCCCGCGUGGCGUCCUCUCCUCACCGCACGGGGCGGCUCGCACGGCGCCACCUGCCAGGCCCGGCGCAGGGGCUCACGGAUUCCCCGGCCCGGAGUUGUGGUCACGCGUGGGGCCCGCCACUUCCCUUGGUUGCGGAGUUCUCGGAGCUCUUGGCACGCUGUACAGUCCUAGGCUCCAGGGAACUCACGUCCCCCAGGUCCGCGGCGGGCCCGGGAUGUGUCACAUACUGAUGUCGCGGUGGGGUCCAGCGCUUUCCUGAGUGUAGAGUUAGAGUCCCGAGGGACCUGAAGCAUCCAGUCAGGGCAGAGGCGGCUAGGACUGAGCUGGAGAGGCGGGCGAGUAGCUGUAGCUGGAGGUGUUUUGAAGUAGAAGGGUGACUCCUUUUGCACAAUUGCUUUUGAAUGGAAGGAUGCUCUUUUCCUGAUAGAAGAUGAUGGUCUUGGAGAAUGAUCAUGGAGAAGGGGAUGAAUUCUGGAGAAGGACUGCCUUCCAGAUCAUGUCAGGCGCCUGCUGCUAAAGCAACAGUCAAGGAGUUAGAAACCCAGCAGCCCUGUAAGGAGAAGCGAGGGGGCUUUGUGCUGGUGCAUGCAGGUGCAGGCUAUCAUUCUGAAUCCAAAGCCAAGGAAUAUAAACAUGUAUGCAAACGAGCUUGUCAGAAGGCGAUUGAGAAGCUCCAGGCUGGUGCUCCUGCAACAGAUGCCGUGGCCGCCGCUCUGGUGGAGCUUGAGGUGUAUACACACAAUUACACUUCAUGGAGUUGCAUCCAGCCAAGUCUCUAUGUUCUUCUUGUGAAGAGGCAGAGAAAAUCACCUCUCCCAAGAAUUUCCAUCUCCUGCCAAGGGAACUGUGUUCUGAAGAGCUGUACCCAGACGGGAGGCACCUUGUUUGCUUGCUCUGCUGCCAGAGCAUUGAGUAAUUAGAAGACAGGCUGGGUGGCCAGCACCAGGCAGAGCCCAGGUAGCCUGGGACGGUAAAACACUCAGCUUGUCUCCUAGGCUAAAGCUAGUUCUACUUCAGAGCUGCUGCUGUCCUUGGUGGUGGUCAUACACUACUGCUAUCUCCAAAAUGCUGUGGUAUCUGCAACUAUGGUACGUGUUCACCAAUACCCUCUCCUGGACUCUCUUUUGGGACUCUGACCUUGCCAAAUACUAUCAAGUUUCCCAUGAGCCCUUCAGACCUUGGCUUUCUACCUCAUCUGAGUCUGUAUCCUCACCAAUAACCUUUCAUCAAAGAUUAUAGCCCUGCUGUAUAGUGCUAACCUUUAGUUGCUCUUUAUGCCUUUAAAACCAGUACCACUUUGGAAAGUCUUACACAUUAUCAAGUUGAGCUGCCAGCUUAAGCUACACUCUUAACCCCUGCUGGCCCACAGUUUCAGUUUGCUGACUCUGUGGAAAUACUUCCAAAGGUUUCACUUUAAUGAUGAUGGCCUCUUAAGUACAGCCAACUCCAUCCUUAACCAGUGUCAGUUGCUCCAGUGAAGCAAAGAUUUUACUCUAGAGGUUCAAGUCUCUUCAUAACAACAGCUGAUAUUUCAACUCCAGCUGACUAGAACCACAGACUCUUAAGACUCACAAUGCCAACAAGCACUAGUAGAGUCUUUAUGCAACUUCCAAAACUCCUCUCAGAAACCUUAUAAGCCAAGCUCCAGUUGUCUGCACUGUUCUCAGCAUUCUUACCUUCCAGAUUCCCACAGCAAGCUCUGGACACUCAGUGAUUUCCCAGUCCAAUGUUCCAAAAUCCUUCCACUAACCUUCUUUAAAUAUGGUCAAGUCAAUCACAGCAAUAUUUUACUUCUGGUACCAGUUCUUGGCUUAAGUAGGGUUUCUAUUGUGAUAAAAUACUGUGACCAAUAGCCACUUGGAGUAGAAAGGGUUUAUUUCAGCUUCCAGUUCCACAUCACAGUCCACCAUUGAAAGGAAGUCAGGGCAUGAACUCAAACAGGGAAGACACUGGAGGCAGACUAUGGAGGACUGCUGCGUACUGGCUUGCUUCCCACAGCCCAUUGCAGCCAGGACCACCAGCCCAGGGGUAGCAUUGCCCACAGUGAUCUG
Molecule: RNA transcript, 2099 nt
Organism: Mastomys coucha (southern multimammate mouse)
Lineage: Eukaryota; Metazoa; Chordata; Mammalia; Rodentia; Muridae
Gene: Tasp1
Gene name: taspase 1
Exons: 6
Source: RefSeq, a predicted model, not a curated record